Molecule: long non-coding RNA, 248 nt
Organism: Salvelinus namaycush (lake trout)
Lineage: Eukaryota; Metazoa; Chordata; Actinopteri; Salmoniformes; Salmonidae
Exons: 2
Source: RefSeq, a predicted model, not a curated record
UGCACCGCAGAAUCCAGAGAUGGCAUCAGUGAAGCUGGAGGACUGCAGUCAAACACUGGAGCUGAAUGUCAACAUUAAAGUUGAAGAAGAGGACGAGAAGAUUAGGACAACUGUUAGUCAUGGUUACCAUGUUGAGACAUUCUCUACAUCCAGAGAGCAACAGCAGGAAGAUCAGAGAGCUAAGAGGUCUCAUCACUGCCCACACUGUGAAGAGAUUUUCCCAUUUCUAUCAAAGCUAAAAAUACACC